This 106-nucleotide ribosomal RNA is filed under the name Lachnospiraceae bacterium. RNAcentral describes it as "partial 23S ribosomal RNA". It matches the Rfam family "Bacterial large subunit ribosomal RNA", at positions 2818 to 2925 of the family's 2925-position model. Lineage: Bacteria; Bacillati; Bacillota; Clostridia; Lachnospirales; Lachnospiraceae. The record is from RNAcentral.
CGGGAACCGGAAAGACCCCUUGAAGACUACGAGGUAGAUAGGUGCGAGGUGGAAGCACAGUAAUGUGUGGAGCUGACGCAUACUAAUCGGUCGAGUCCUUGAUCGU